UACGUAGGGUGCGAGCGUUAAUCGGAAUUACUGGGCGUAAAGCGUGCGUAGGUGGUUCGUUGUGUCUGUGGUGAAAGCCCCGGGCUUAACCUGGGAAUGGCCAUGGAAACUGGCGAGCUGGAGUCUGGCAGAGGGGGGUGGAAUUCCGCGUGUAGCAGUGAAAUGCGUAGAGAUGCGGAGGAACACCGAUGGCGAAGGCAGCCCCCUGGGCUAAGACUGGCGCUGAGGCACGAAAGCGUGGGGAGCAAACAGG
RNAcentral lists this ribosomal RNA (253 nucleotides) under uncultured bacterium. RNAcentral's name for it is "partial 16S ribosomal RNA". It matches the Rfam family "Bacterial small subunit ribosomal RNA", at positions 524 to 776 of the family's 1533-position model. The record is from RNAcentral.